AGGCGUUACAAAGUCUGACUGGGAACCUACUAUUAUUGUCUUUAAAGAGGAAAGUGUAUAAUCAUUGCAUUCUACCGGUGAUAGCAUAAGGGGCCGACACGGUUAGCAAAAAAGCUCGUGAACAAAUUAAGGACCACACAAAGAGCGAUGGAACAAGUGUUAGGGGUUACGCUAAGCGACAGAAAGAGAGUGGUGUGGAUCAAAGAGCAAGUGGGGAUAUCCGAUAUUGUACUUGACACUAAGAGAAAAAAAAAUGGAGCUGGGCAGGCCAUGUGAUGCUCAGGGUCGAUAACCGGUCGACCAUUAGAGUUACAGAAUGGGUGCCGGGGAAACGUAGGUGCAGUCGAGAACUACAUAAAACUAGGUGGGGUGAUGAAAUUAGGAAAUUUGCCGGCUCAAGUUGGAAUUGGCUGGCGCAGGACAGGGGUAAUAGGAGAUCGUAGGGAUAGGCCUUCGUCUUGAGGUGAAAAUAAAGUAGACUGAUGGUAAUGAUGAUGAUGGUGAUGCUUGAUGACGCCACAAUACAGCGCCGAAGCAAACACAGAAGCUUCUUUCAUGCGAGUAAUAAUUGUGCGUAGGAUGGAAAAGAACAAGGAGGGAUCAUUAGGUCGCGUAGCCAACCUUCGCAAGCCAUCUCUGCAAGAAGCCGCCCCCCCCCCCGACCCCUCCUCCCAUUCUUGCCUUCGUUGAUCUAAAAGUCUUCCCAUAAUACGACUCUGUGCUCGGCAGACUCAGCCUAUUAUGUUUGGUUCGCGGUAAAUAUGAAUUGAAGUGAGCAUGUUCGGAUGCCUUGCUAACCACUGUGUGCACAUUUUCUCCCGUUAAUCUUGUGCAACUUUCAUCGCGUCUUGUAGCGUACGCACGUCUAACAUUGUAACAUACGAGUGUGGUUACCGUAGACGGGGGCAUCACAUUUGUUUGUUGUUGUUGUUUUUCAGAAGAGCACGCUUAGUUGAUGGAGAUAUGAUCAGAUGUUGAGCCGAACUUUAUUUUUUUUUUUGGGGGGGGGGGGUUACAAAGUAUCACGUAAUGCUUGCUUCUAGGUUUUCCUUUCUCGAUGAAAAUCUGCGCCUCGAUAGCGCAAGUUUGUAAAUGUGCACCUGAGGCGCCGAGUAGUGUGCGAGAAUAUGUGCACCCUAUCACAAAAAAUUGAAAGCCAGCUGCCUAUUGCGGAAGGCUACCCAUGGAUAUUUACUUUUCCUGCGGUCGUAAGGAAACUUGUGGUGGUAAGUCUUGUUAGCAGCAAUUUCAUUCGUAGAACGUUUAUUUGUUUCUUUCUUUUUUCAAAUUCGUGGGCUUUCCUAUUGGCGUUUGCAUAAUGCAGCAAUCAAACCACUGCGCAUGGAUAGACACAACACACAAUGUCUUUGUUGACACACUAUUUCUGGCACGACGGAAUAGAAAUAUAAAAUUUUAGUGCAGUUUUAGGUCCGUUUCAUGAAUUCCCUUUCAUAUUAACGUCCUCCAUGUGCAGUGUUUACUUGACAAGACAAAGUGGAACCUUCUAUACAGAAAUUUUGACGAUGACAAGUACUUCGGAAAUGCAAAGUCUGUCACGUUUCGUGACCUCGGCGUCUUCGAAGACUAUACGACGUCCCUCUCGAAUGCAAGUGGAGUCUCACACUCAAGCAAGAAGAUUGUCCUAAGUUCAACGCCAAGCUAUAAAGCCAGGAACCAAAUUCUAAUGAGGCCUGAAGAAUCACAUAUUACUGCGAAAGUACACGUCAUAUACAGGGACUGUCGAAAGUGCAUUGUCCUACGACACCCUUACGCAAGCAACGGUUACGGAUGCACGUACUGGCGUCGCUUCGACACAAUGAAGGAACAAGCUGACAGUUGCGAGUUUGUCUACGAUGAACUUUGUGGCACAACUCCAAAGUACCCGAAGUACAAUUCAACGUGCACGCCAGAGACGCUCUUCAUACACCCGUGGAUCCCAUCUAAUCGGUUGUGGCCAGUGUGGCUACUACGGCACCAAUUGUGAAAGCCCGUUAGAAUGCCACUGCUGCCGCCCAGGCAUCAUUUUCUGCCAAACUCACGGAAGCCGUGGAGAUAGUGGUCCAAGAAGCUAGAACUGCUCGACUUUUGGCCACAGCCUUUCAAACUUUAAUCUAGAAACAUUCUGAACGUGGCAAUCCUUCGCUGUAAUAUUCUAGUACCAAUCUAGCAGUAUUCCCAAGGUGGUGAUCUACUGAUGCUCAUGGAACAAAAAGAAAAAUGAAAUGUUGACUCUACAUUAAUGCACCUUUGCGUGAAUGCAACCGAACUGACGGUACAUGCAGUACAUGCCCCCACAAAUAAAUAAGAAAGCGCUAAUAACUUUUGUAACUAUAAAUAAAUAACGCCUGCCAAACAUGA
Long non-coding RNA from Dermacentor andersoni, 2358 nucleotides. RefSeq lists it as uncharacterized. The record is from RefSeq and is a predicted model, not a curated record. NCBI's taxonomy places the organism in Eukaryota, Metazoa, Arthropoda, Arachnida, Ixodida, Ixodidae.